RNAcentral lists this long non-coding RNA (452 nucleotides) under Pan troglodytes (chimpanzee). RNAcentral describes it as "long non-coding RNA NONPTRT016233". The record is from RNAcentral. Lineage: Eukaryota; Metazoa; Chordata; Mammalia; Primates; Hominidae.
GUGUGUGUGUGUAUUUUUUUUGUAGAGAUGGAAUUUCACCGUGUUGCCUAGGCUGGUCUCGAGCUCUUGAUCUCAAGCGAUCCUCCCUGCCUCGGCCUCCCAACGUGCUGGGAUUACAGGCGUGAGCCACUGCGCCUGGCCAGGGUCUGUUCCUAGUUGCAACAGUUCUUGGAAACCCACUCGAGAGGGCCACGCCUCCAUUCACCAGGCCACGCAUCACAAGAGGCAACACCAGGAGCCAACAUGAGCUCGGGGACUGAACUGCUGUGGCCCGGAGCAGCGCUGCUGGUGCUGUUGGGGCUGGCGGCCAGUCUGUGUGUGCGCUGCUCACGCCCAGGUGCAAAGAGGUCAGAGAAAAUCUACCAGCAGAGAAGUCUGUGAGUUGCCUCGAUGUCCCUAGCCUGGUGUAUUCAUGUGCCCUGGGCAUGGACGUCCCCAAGGGAAUUCCUGGC